Molecule: ribosomal RNA, 497 nt
Filed under: uncultured bacterium
Lineage: Bacteria
Description: partial 16S ribosomal RNA
Rfam family: Bacterial small subunit ribosomal RNA
Source: RNAcentral
GAUGAACGCUGGCGGCGUGCCUAAUACAUGCAAGUCGAGCGAACAGACGAGGAGCUUGCUCCUCUGACGUUAGCGGCGGACGGGUGAGUAACACGUGGAUAACCUACCUAUAAGACUGGGAUAACUUCGGGAAACCGGAGCUAAUACCGGAUAAUAUAUUGAACCGCAUGGUUCAAUAGUGAAAGACGGUUUUGCUGUCACUUAUAGAUGGAUCCGCGCCGCAUUAGCUAGUUGGUAAGGUAACGGCUUACCAAGGCAACGAUGCGUAGCCGACCUGAGAGGGUGAUCGGCAACACUGGAACUGAGACACGAUCCAGACUCCUAAGGGAGGCAGCAGUAGGGAAUCUUCCGCAAUGGGCGAAAGCUUGACGGAGCAACGCCGCGUGAGUGAUGAAGGUCUUCGGAUCGUAAAACUCUGUUAUUAGGGAAGAACAAAUGUGUAAGUAACUAUGCACGUCUUGACGGUACCUAAUCAGAAAGCCACGGCUAACUACGUG